CCAUUUCAUCACCAACAAGGACGACAAAAAAGCAAGAUGGUUAAGCAUAACAACGUCGUCCCUAACCAGCAUUUCCACAAGAAAUGGGCUGGAGGUGCUAAUGGCCAUGCUCGUGGACCUAUCCAUGUUGUGAC
RNAcentral lists this non-coding RNA (134 nucleotides) under Pteridomonas danica. The record is from RNAcentral. Lineage: Eukaryota; Dictyochophyceae; Pedinellales.